Molecule: long non-coding RNA, 1123 nt
Organism: Micropterus salmoides (largemouth bass)
Lineage: Eukaryota; Metazoa; Chordata; Actinopteri; Centrarchiformes; Centrarchidae
Exons: 2
Source: RefSeq, a predicted model, not a curated record
UUAUAAAUAAUAUACCCGCUUUCUAAAUUACUGGGGUUUUUUUAGAAGAUAAAGAAUAAGAAAACAUGGGUGAUGUGAAAAGGGAUGCUGUGGGAUUAAAAAGGUUGCAGUGUGGCAGCUGUCUACAAAAUCUUGGGCAUCAGUGAGUCCUUGACAUUUUGACCUCAUCUUCCAGGACACUUCCUUGAGGGUGAAAGGCAUCUUCAUCCGUGCCGUGGUCCCAGACUCCCCCGCAGCGCGAUGUGAGAAGCUGGUACCAGGAGACAGGAUCCUGGCUGUUAACGGAGUCAGUCUGCUUGGACUGGACUACAACAGUGGAAAGGAGCUGAUCCAGUCAUCAGGUGACAGACUGAGGUUACUGGUGGCCAGAUCUGACUGGAUGGCUAAGGCUAGACAGACUGAAUGCUGACAGCAAUUUUCUUUUUUCAAACCAAGACUGUUAAUGCACCAUAAGCGCACUUAAAGAUGGCCAUAAGAGCUUGUUGAACAUUCAGUUUCAGGACAUAGACCUUAAUAUAAGGUUAAGAAGACAAACAUGCACUAUGAAAUAAACUAUGUCCUGCUUGAAUUGAGUACCAGGUUUAAACUGCUCAGUGUAGUUUUGCAGUUUUUUAAUUUACAUUGUAAUAGCAUGACUGAUGUGUGUAUGUGAUCAUUUCAUUGCAAGCAGUUUAUUUAAACUCUUUCGCCAGUGGAAGAAGAAUACUUAUAUUGACCAUUCCAUAGCCUCUGUACGGUCACUGUCUCUCAGUUACACUUCUGCUUCACUAAUCAAAAUUGAGUCCAGAGAAGAAAGGCUUCCCACAGUAAAGUUGGUCUGAUAGCAGUCUGCUGUUGGAAUUACAUUAUUACAACGCUACCAUUUGUCAUUUGAAUGUAGAAAAAUAACAAGCACCAUCUAAGGUGCAAUAUCAUUGCCAUUCUUUAGUUUAUUGAUUCGACUGGAUAAAAUGAUUGGAUAUACGACGGUUGUUUAACAUUGUAAAAAACACUUUUUUCCCCUUUCGAAUAGGGCUCAGAUUUUAUUACUGUUGCUGUAUUUUUUUUCUUUUUUUUGCAAAUGACCCAUUUUCAUGGUUAGCUCGUGUCUGUUGUGUUUCAGCAAUAAAUACAUUUUAAUUCU